RNAcentral lists this ribosomal RNA (393 nucleotides) under uncultured bacterium. RNAcentral's name for it is "partial 16S ribosomal RNA". It matches the Rfam family "Bacterial small subunit ribosomal RNA", at positions 523 to 918 of the family's 1533-position model. The record is from RNAcentral.
CUACGGAGGAUGCGAGCGUUAUCCGGAUUUAUUGGGUUUAAAGGGAGCGUAGGUGGGAUAUUAAGUCAGCUGUGAAAGUUUGGGGCUCAACGUUAAAAUUGCAGUUGAUACUGGUUUCCUUGAGUACGGUACAGGUGGGCGGAAUUCGUGGUGUAGCGGUGAAAUGCUUAGAUAUCACGAAGAACUCCGAUCGCGAAGGCAGCUCACCGGGCCGGAACUGACACUGAUGCUCGAAAGUGCGGGUAUCAAACAGGAUUAGAUACCCUGGUAGUCCGCACAGUAAACGAUGAAUACUCGCUGUUUGCGAUACACGGUAAGCGGCCAAGCGAAAGCGUUAAGUAUUCCACCUGGGGAGUACGCCGGCAACGGUGAAACUUAAAGGAAUUGGCGGGG